AGCUUUGUGCAGUGGCAGUAUCCUAGCCAAUGAGGUUUAACUGAAGCACAAUUAUUGCUAAUUGCAAUGUAUACACUUAACAUAGUUGUGAGACUUCCUCCUGCUUCAUUCAGCAACUUGUGAGUAGGAGUUGAAGAGGUCA
Monodelphis domestica (gray short-tailed opossum) is the source of this 142-nucleotide small nuclear RNA. Its record names the gene U4. It matches the Rfam family "U4 spliceosomal RNA". Rfam says of the family: U4 small nuclear RNA (U4 snRNA) is a component of the major U2-dependent spliceosome. Lineage: Eukaryota; Metazoa; Chordata; Mammalia; Didelphimorphia; Didelphidae. The record is from Ensembl.